This is a long non-coding RNA of Erinaceus europaeus (western European hedgehog), 884 nucleotides long. RefSeq lists it as uncharacterized. The transcript is spliced from 4 exons. The record is from RefSeq and is a predicted model, not a curated record. Lineage: Eukaryota; Metazoa; Chordata; Mammalia; Eulipotyphla; Erinaceidae.
AAGGGGUUGGGACAGGCAAACUAAGUCAACCAGCAUUGUCCCAGCAGUUGGGGUGCACAGAACAGAGCUCCAGCACAGGUUGAGGUGGACCUCAGAGGAACAGCACUGUUUGCUACUGUACUAGGGAAGAUUGAAGACGGCAGGAACCAUGAGGGGCCUCUGUCUUGUUUCUCUGGCUGUGCUGCUAUACCCAAAGUGCUCCCUAAGCCUGCAGUGCUACACUUGCAUGGAGAUCCAGGGCUCCUCUGCAGAAUGCCUACGUAGCUCAUGCCCAGGAGUGUGCUUCAAAACCAACAUGAGCAUAACCACACCGACCGCAGAAAAGACCAGUGUACAUUUCAAGGGAUGUGCCCUUACCUGUGACUCAGUCUCAACUUCUAUCCAGGACUCUGCCAAUAGUAUGCUGAAUCUAUACUCUCCAGGCACCAGUAUCCAUAUGGACGAUGUGUACUGCUGUGAAAAGAACUUCUGCAAUGGGGGCUCCCGCCUCCAGACCCUGGCCAGUGCUGGGUUCCUACUCCUCAGCCUGGGGUCUAUACUCCUCUGUACCCUCCUGUGAACAACUCUUCCUCCUGCCCCCACACACACUUGGAGGGCUAAAUCCACAGGUAGCUGGCUUCCUCUUACACACACAGGUACACACAGCACCCAGGCACACGCACGUUCACUCACACCCACCAUACUCAGCAAACAAGCUGUGCUGGCUCUCUAUUGGGCCAGUGCAGACAUGGGGGGGUAGGCUUCCUGCCCACCCACUUGGCCCCCAGCAGCCCCAGCUGUCCUACUAAGCCCACAAACCUGCUGUAUUUGCAAACACUAUCAGUUAACUGUUGGCCCCAGGGUAAAUACUGCCAGUGCGCACAAUAGAAAAUAAAGACUCCCCA